This 78-nucleotide transfer RNA is filed under the name Planctomycetota bacterium. RNAcentral describes it as "Planctomycetes bacterium tRNA-His". It matches the Rfam family "tRNA". From Rfam's summary of the family: Transfer RNA (tRNA) molecules are approximately 80 nucleotides in length. Their secondary structure includes four short double-helical elements and three loops (D, anti-codon, and T loops). Lineage: Bacteria; Pseudomonadati; Planctomycetota. The record is from RNAcentral.
GUGGCUGUAGCUCAGUCCGGAUAGAGCACCUGGUUGUGGCCCAGGAGGUCGUGGGUUCAAGUCCCAUCAGCCACCCUA